UACGUAGGGUGCAAGCGUUGUCCGGAAUUAUUGGGCGUAAAGAGCUCGUAGGCGGUUUGUUGCGUCGGCUGUGAAAUCCCGAGGCUCAACCUCGGGUCUGCAGUCGAUACGAGCAAACUAGAGUGUUGCAGGGGAGAAUGGAAUUCCCGGUGUAGCGGUGAAAUGCGCAGAUAUCGGGAGGAACACCGGUGGCGAAGGCGGUUCUCUGGGCCUUACCUGACGCUGAGGAGCGAAAGCGUGGGGAGCGAACAGG
This 253-nucleotide ribosomal RNA is filed under the name uncultured bacterium. RNAcentral's name for it is "partial 16S ribosomal RNA". It matches the Rfam family "Bacterial small subunit ribosomal RNA", at positions 524 to 776 of the family's 1533-position model. The record is from RNAcentral.